Molecule: ribosomal RNA, 523 nt
Filed under: uncultured Alternaria
Lineage: Eukaryota; Fungi; Ascomycota; Dothideomycetes; Pleosporales; Pleosporaceae
Description: eukaryotic LSU rRNA
Rfam family: 5.8S ribosomal RNA (bases 178-331)
Source: RNAcentral
GAGGGAUCAUUACACAAAUAUGAAGGCGGGCUGGAACCUCUCGGGGUUACAGCCUUGCUGAAUUAUUCACCCUUGUCUUUUGCGUACUUCUUGUUUCCUUGGUGGGUUCGCCCACCACUAGGACAAACAUAAACCUUUUGUAAUUGCAAUCAGCGUCAGUAACAAAUUAAUAAUUACAACUUUCAACAACGGAUCUCUUGGUUCUGGCAUCGAUGAAGAACGCAGCGAAAUGCGAUAAGUAGUGUGAAUUGCAGAAUUCAGUGAAUCAUCGAAUCUUUGAACGCACAUUGCGCCCUUUGGUAUUCCAAAGGGCAUGCCUGUUCGAGCGUCAUUUGUACCCUCAAGCUUUGCUUGGUGUUGGGCGUCUUGUCUCUAGCUUUGCUGGAGACUCGCCUUAAAGUAAUUGGCAGCCGGCCUACUGGUUUCGGAGCGCAGCACAAGUCGCACUCUCUAUCAGCAAAGGUCUAGCAUCCAUUAAGCCUUUUUUCAACUUUUGACCUCGGAUCAGGUAGGGAUACCCGCU